This 253-nucleotide ribosomal RNA is filed under the name uncultured bacterium. RNAcentral's name for it is "partial 16S ribosomal RNA". It matches the Rfam family "Bacterial small subunit ribosomal RNA", at positions 524 to 776 of the family's 1533-position model. The record is from RNAcentral. RNAcentral also lists the same sequence under 1 other name.
UACGUAGGGCGCAAGCGUUGUCCGGAAUUAUUGGGCGUAAAGAGCUCGUAGGCGGCUUGUCACGUCGGAUGUGAAAGCCCGAGGCUUAACCUCGGGUCUGCAUUCGAUACGGGCUAGCUAGAGUGUGGUAGGGGAGAUCGGAAUUCCUGGUGUAGCGGUGAAAUGCGCAGAUAUCAGGAGGAACACCGGUGGCGAAGGCGGAUCUCUGGGCCAUUACUGACGCUGAGGAGCGAAAGCGUGGGGAGCGAACAGG